Molecule: ribosomal RNA, 1209 nt
Filed under: uncultured bacterium
Lineage: Bacteria
Description: bacterial SSU rRNA
Rfam family: Bacterial small subunit ribosomal RNA
Source: RNAcentral
AGAGUUUGAUCCUGGCUCAGAUUGAACGCUGGCGGCAUGCUUUACACAUGCAGGUCGAACGGAUUUUGGAGCUUGCUCCAGAGUUAGUGGCGAACGGGUGAGUAAUAUAUCGGAACGUACCCGGCAAUGGGGGAUAACGUAGCGAAAGUUACGCUAAUACCGCAUAUGCCCUGAGGGGGAAAGCAGGGGACCAGUAAUGGCCUUGCGUUGUCGGAGCGGCCGAUAUCGGAUUAGCUAGUUGGUGAGGUAAAGGCUCACCAAGGCGACGAUCCGUAGCAGGUCUGAGAGGAUGAUCUGCCACACUGGGACUGAGACACGGCCCAGACUCCUACGGGAGGCAGCAGUGGGGAAUUUUGGACAAUGGGCGAAAGCCUGAUCCAGCCAUGCCGCGUGAGUGAAGAAGGCCUUCGGGUUGUAAAGCUCUUUCAGCCGGAAAGAAAACGCACUUCCUAAUACGGAGUGUGGAUGACGGUACCGGAAGAAGAAGCACCGGCUAACUAUGUGCCAGCAGCCGCGGUAAUACGUAGGGUGCGAGCGUUAAUCGGAAUUACUGGGCGUAAAGCGUGCGCAGGCGGUUUUGUAAGUCAGAUGUGAAAUCCCCGAGCUCAACUUGGGAACUGCGUUUGAAACUACAAGACUAGAAUAUGUCAGAGGGGGGUAGAAUUCCACGUGUAGCAGUGAAAUGCGUAGAGAUGUGGAGGAAUACCAAUGGCGAAGGCAGCCCCCUGGGAUAAUAUUGACGCUCAUGCACGAAAGCGUGGGGAGCAAACAGGAUUAGAUACCCUGGUAGUCCACGCCCUAAACGAUGUCUACUAGUUGUUGGUGGAGUAAAAUCCAUGAGUAACGCAGCUAACGCGUGAAGUAGACCGCCUGGGGAGUACGGUCGCAAGAUUAAAACUCAAAGGAAUUGACGGGGGCCCGCACAAGCGGUGGAUUAUGUGGAUUAAUUCGAUGCAACGCGAAAAACCUUACCUGGCCUUGACAUGUAACGAACUUUCCAGAGAUGGAUUGGUGCUCGAAAGAAAACGUUAACACAGGUGCUGCAUGGCUGUCGUCAGCUCGUGUCUUGAGAUGUUGGGUAAAGUCCCGCAACGAGCGCAACCCUUGCCAUUAAUUGCCAUCAUUUAGUUUGGGCCUUUAAUGAAACUGCCGGGGAUAACCCGAAGGAAGUGGGGAUAACGUCAAGCCUCAUGGGCCUAAUGGGUAGGG